This 480-nucleotide ribosomal RNA is filed under the name uncultured bacterium. RNAcentral describes it as "partial 16S ribosomal RNA". It matches the Rfam family "Bacterial small subunit ribosomal RNA", at positions 28 to 506 of the family's 1533-position model. The record is from RNAcentral.
GAUGAACGCUGGCGGCGUGCUUAACACAUGCGAGUCGAACGAAACACCUUAUUUGAUUUUCUUCGGAACUGAAGAUUUGGUGAUUGAGUGGCGGACGGGUGAGUAACGCGUGGGUAACCUGCCCUGUACAGGGGGAUAACAGUCAGAAAUGACUGCUAAUACCGCAUAAGACCACAGCACCGCAUGGUGCAGGGGUAAAAACUCCGGUGGUACAGGAUGGACCCGCGUCUGAUUAGCUGGUUGGUGAGGUAACGGCUCACCAAGGCGACGAUCAGUAGCCGGCUUGGGAGAGGGAACGGCCACAUUGGGACUGAGACACGGCCCAAACCCCUACGGGGGGGCGCAGGGGGGAAAAUUGCAAAAUGGGGGAAACCCUGAUGCAGCAGCGCCGGGGGAGUGAAGAAGUAUUUCGGUAUGAAAAGCUCUAUCAGCAGGGAAGAAAAUGACGGGACCUGACUAAGAAGCCCCGGCUAACUACGU